GCCCCAGUGGCCUAAUGGAUAAGGCACUGGCCUCCUAAGCCUGGGAUUGUGGAUUCGAGUCCCAUCUGGGGUA
This is a non-coding RNA of Cyclopterus lumpus (lumpfish), 73 nucleotides long. NCBI's taxonomy places the organism in Eukaryota, Metazoa, Chordata, Actinopteri, Perciformes, Cyclopteridae. The record is from the annotation of a RefSeq genome assembly.